CCUACUACUACGUGCAGCCCGCUGACGACGACCAGGAGUAGUUUAGGUGGAUCCCAGGCAGGAGGAAUGCGCCUCCACUACUAGGGAAAACCUUAUACACAGAACUUUAGCAGUAGCGUGGGUCAAAGAAGCACGCUGGUGCUAAGUAGCAGUAGUGCGCCUAUGCAAACUGCGUUGUAGAUAAAGUUUUAGCAGUAGCGCGUCUUGUUCUAAACACGUUACUACUAAAAUUCCCACGGCUUAGCCGAUAGGCUACACAUAGUAGUAUCGACCUAUAUCGAACCGCACUACCACUACUUUCUUUGUAGUAGUGCGUUUUAAUCUAAACUCGCUACUGCUAAAGGAUAUAAAAUUAAAUGGAAAGCACAUAGAAAGGUAAUUGAAAAUGAAAGAAAUAGAAUAAGGUGAAAGGAAAAAAAUAAAAUGUGAAGAAAACUAAAUGAAAAAGGGAGGAAAGAGAAAGGAGUAGCAGUAGCGUGUAUCCCAGAACGUGUUGUAGCUAACAUAGCAAUAGCGCGCUUUCUGGAACGUGCUACUGCUACUUCUGACUUAACCACGGGGUUCGUCCUUCCCCACGGCCACUUCCCCCAAAUUCAGCUCUCCACUCUCGCCGCCGUUGUCGCCCGUCGGCCACCACGCGCUCUCCGCACACCCUCUACGCCACCCCUGACCCUAGAUUCAAUGCCGCCCCCGCCCCUGACCUCAACGCCGCCCCGGACGCCGCCCCCGACCCCGACCUCGACGCCGCCAUCCGCCGCGCGCCCGAGCCCCGACCCCGACCUCGAUGCCGCCUGCCCCUUCCUCGUCGCAGACACCCGAGGUGAGCACGCCUUCUCCUCCCUCUCCCCUACCUCUGCCUAGGGUUUCUUUAUAUUUCUGUUGCAUCAAAUUAGUUAGGGUUCAUGUAAGGGUGGAAACGAAUCGGAUGCGGAUGCGGCUCAAAUGAGUUAGGGUUCAUGUAAGGGUGGAAACGAAUCAAAUUUCCAAGAUGAAUCAACAAACGAGUAAAAUUUGACCACUUAUUUCACUUUGUAGUAGGAUAAUUGGAAUAUCCGCUACCACUUUCCACCCCUAGCUUCAUCAAAUUAGAUGGCAAUUAGGGCAUUAGUUCCUAGGUACUAAUUAGUUAGUAAGAACUAGGUACUAAUUAGGUACUAGUUUAUUUUUAUUUAUAGUAAGUUUAUUUUUAAUAAGAACUAGUUGAAUUAAUAGAACUAGUUAAUAAGAAGUUGUUGCUAUUUUUUAGUUAAAGAAAUUUUUCCCGCAUCGACGUGGACGAUGCCUAUCCCGCAUCCUCAUCGUCGAGUCGGCGGAGGACGGCACCUGCUUGACCAGAUGGGCCAUGUCCGGGACUGGGCUCCGCCGGGGUGGUACUGGGAGGCGCUACCUACCGGGGGCGCAGUUGGUGAGGAGCCAGCAUGUCGUUGACCCGAACCUUCUUUGGUGGCGGUCGCAUGGGCCAGUGACGGUCCAGAGGCUCAUGGACCCCGCGAAGGUGGUGUGUCACCGUGUUAGUGAGGAGGACGCGCACGUCCGUCACUACUUGUUUGUGUUGGAGCACAGGUUCUCCAAUACCUGGCAAGUUCUCCAGGGAUCUCACUGGAGCUAUGAUCCCGUGAUGGUUCCUUCUCUGUGGGUGUCCAACGCCCGCGCCGAUACCCGUCGUGUGCUAAGGUUUUAGUUGUAUUAGUGAUGUCAUAUGUAAGACACUAUUCGGGAUGUAUUAGUGAUAAUAUUCGACGAUGUAUGGAUGCAUGAGAUGAUUUACUUUUGCUUAUUGAAUGCAUGCUAAUUUGAGUCCUAUGAGAUAUUUUGAAAUGUAUAUCUUGUGUUGCUCAAAUAGGAUAUGUGCUUGCCCAAGUGGCUGGUCAUGUUUGUAGGUUACACCUCCGAGUGGCCUAUGUUUUGCUGGAGUGUUGAUUCAUUUCCGUUCUGGCAAAUUUCAGGCGCUCGAUAUGUCCUAUUUUAGCAAAGGUCAUGCCAGAUUUUUCCAUGAAUUUUUGCAUAACUUGUGCCAGAAGAUGUAGGAAAUAUCGAGUGCCUCGGAUUUGUGUGUUGAGUAUCCUGGUAGUUGUCUUCGAUCGAUUUUCAAUUGAUGUUUUAACUAUGAACAUAGGAAAUGUCUGACGACGAAAAGGAUUUUGGUAUUUGCAAAUACUGCGAAGACGAGCGCGGCAUGUGCGAUGAAAUCUUCCUAGAUGAUGAUAGGUGCUUCAGCAUCAAGCUGGACGAGAACCUCGAAGUGGAUACAAUAAGUCACAACGACAAGUCUUUUUUCGUAAUUAAGCAUGUCAUUUGCUUCAUUUGCUUCAACUUAUAAUUUAAGCAUGACAUUAAGCAUGACAAGUCUUUUUUUUACUAUUCUACUAGCGUAUCCCCUGCCAUGCAAGAGUUUUUGUAUUGGAUAAGAUAGGUUUCAGUCGUACUAUGGAGGAAAAGAAAGUUUACUUGAAGACCGAGCAUGGUAAUAUUUUACACGCAAAAUUAUACAAUUCAGACGACUACACCUAUUUUGGAUGCAAAACAUGGCGAGCACUAUGCAAGACUUAUGCAUUUGAGCCUGAUAUGGUUAUCACCUUUGAUAUUCAUCCGGAAGAUGAUAUUGAAGGUAAUACCGACAUCUGGGUCAAUGUGCAGACGCCUCCAGUUAUACCAUUAUGUAAGUUUCUCAACCAUAUUUAUGUCUUUGAUAUUGUUUAUUCAAAAAUAGUUGUCAACUAAUUUGUAUUGUCAGCUUAUUUUGGUGCAAGCAAACAUGUCCAGCGCUUGGUAGACAGGACCUACUACUGUCCCGAGGCUGAACUAAACUACGAGGAGCUAAGUCAUUAUGUUUCAUGGCUUGAGGAUCUUGAUACUGUCAAGACAAAUUUUCUUCCUGCAUUUAGAAAUGUUAGUACUGAAAACGUGCGGCCAAUAGUGUUCGUAAUGAACUACGGUCACAUCUAUUUAGGAAGGGUGGUAAGAUUUUUACUAUUUGUCCUCAGUGCAUCUUUUCCAUACAUUAUUUUUGAAGCUAAACUUCAUUGCUAAGUAUGUUACCAUACGAUGUUCUUCAACAGGGACUCCCGAUGAAUGUUGUGCCUUAUGGGAUCGAGACUAAAGGUACCAUGAGUAUUAUUAGCUUACGGCCAAGAUAUCCUACAGAUUACUUUAGUGCAUUCAAGAUUAGCGACGGAUGCUUAAUAGUGCAAGACUGGACCAAAUGUGUGAUGGAGAAGCGCAGAGAAGUACUAGGGGGCAGCAAACAGAUGUGCUACCCACGAUUAGGAGACAUGUUCAUCUGCAUGCUCCAACUUGAUCAAGGAUGAGAGCUACACAUGUUUUAUGUUAUUUUACCUAAGAUAGAGCAGCAGGAGUGAUUAGCUAGCUAGAAAUGAGUUUGAGGAUGAUGAUGUGCUACACUAUUACUAUGAUGAUAAAAUAGCUAGUGUUGGUGGUAAUGACUAUGAUGAUUAUUAUUAGCUAGUGUUAGUGGUGAUUAAAUAAAUACUGUUGGUGGUAAUGACUAUGAUGAUGAUUAAAUAGCUUGUGCUGGCGCAUUAGAUUCAAGUGGAGGCAACAUGUGGUGCACAUCAAAAGUACUACUAGUCCAAACUGAUCAAGUUUGGAUUAGUAGUAUACUUUUGACAUGCACCACAUAUUGCCUCCACUUGAACCUAAUCCACCUUCAUUUGACACACUGUUAUGGACAUAAUGAUGUAAACCUCAUAACUGGUAUUGUACCAAUAUUUGUACGAUGGCGCAUAAAUACACUAAAAAUAAAAAUUAAAAAAGAAUACUAGUAGCGAUGGAGAGAAAACACGCUGCCAGUAGUUACAUUAGCAGUAGCGUGGGAGUGAACAAAUGAUGUAGCUAUUUGUCCUAGUAGUAGCGCGUGCGGGCACGCGUUACUGCUAAGCAAUAGUUGUAGCGCCUUAUUAGUAGCGCGCCUACCCGCGCUACUAGUGAGCACAAAACCAGCGCUAUUGCUAGGGUUUGCCCUAGUAGUGUUCGAUCUGUAUCCUAGUUUGUGCUAGCCUUCUUAAGGCAAUCUUGUUUAACUUAUGUCUGUACUCAGAUAUUGUUGCUUCCGCUGACUCGUUUAUGACCGAGCUCUUGUAUUCGAGCCUUCGAGGCCCCUGGCUUGUAAUAUAAAGCUUGUAUUAUUUUAAUUUGUGUCUAGAGUUGUGUUGUGAUAACUUCUCGUGAAUCCUUGAUCUUGAUCAUACACAUUUGCGUGUAUGAUUAGUGUACGGUCAAAUCGGGGGCGUCACAAGUUGGUACUAGAGCCGACUGCCUGUAGGAAUCCCCCUUCCACACUCCUUGGCCGAAGUUGAGUCUAGUCAUUGCAAAACUUUUACUAACAUGGCGGUGUGCCUUACGGGCUCAUGUCACCAUUCGGUGGUAAUAGGAUCUUUUAUUCCUCAACCUAUACUCUGGGACUCUAAUCUCUCUUCUAUUCGGGUGAAAUGAUUUUGCUAACUCUAACUCUUGGUUCUCGUAAUUACUUCCUUCCGGAGAGCCCCUUCAUUUCCAGAUGAUCGCCUGCUACGCCGAAAGAUUCGGAGGAUACUCUAUGAUGUUCUCUCGAGACUUGGUGCCAUCGCUUUUGCAAUAUGCUUCCAUCGAUAAACCCCUAUGAAUAACCACGUACACUUGCCAAUCAUACAAUCAUUCCUCAUUGAUCUUGUUAUUACAAGAUACCCCGAAAUUCUCUCUAUUAUGCGAGAAUACUUUGUGCCUACUGCCUUGCAGUUCUUGCCACAUGAAUACCCCCUACGGAUAAUUCCUCACACUUACCGAGUAUCCGUUCUUUCCCCGUUGUUCAUGUAUUUUACCAAAGUCUUCGAAAUACUAUUUGAUUUCUUGAAAAUUCUCAACAGCCUGUUGUUCUUGAAAUUCUUGCCUGCUUGCAUUAUGGUUAAUUCCAUAUGACUAGUAGUUCUCGUUAACCUCCCUUGUCUUAGUCAUUUUGAGCCUAUUGAUCCAAUUUGUGCAUACGCACACAGUCAUCGGGUUAUCCUUUUUUUUAAUUAUCUUUCCGGCUCAGGCGUCAUUCUGGACAUGAGUUGGCUCUCGGCAAUUCAAACCUUUAUUGAUUGUCCAACUAAGUGUUUUCAACUUAUCCAUCCUUGAUCAGUGCGUCUGCUUCUGAUCCUUCGUUUUGGAAGCGAUAAUUUCUUUCUAUUUAAGCAUCGGACUAAUCAGGUGAUUCUUGAAUCUAAUGCCUUUGCAUUCUUUCUUCCUCAGAGUGAGUACCGAUACUCACAUUAGCUCCGUUGUGGAUCGCCCGAUCCAUUGUUGGAUUGUUAUCUGAUAGUGUCCUUCAUAUUCAAUCACCUUGUGAGUUCUUCCCCUGAUACAUAGUGCCUCUGGUAAAUUGUAUCAUCUGCUUGGCCAACCAUGCUCUGCUUUCGAGCUUGUGUAUUUACUGUUGAAACUUGUGGUAUAUGUUACUAAGAUGCCAAAUGGGUUGAACCUAUGUCUUCCCCUAAUCCAUGAGAACCCGAAAGUUUUCACAAGUCAUACUCUUCCGGUGUUCUACCAAAUAAAUUCCAACACUACAGUUUUAUCAAAGCGAGAGGUGAAUGAAAUGAUAUGCAUUAAAGAAGUGGGAGUCGACCUUGAACUUUGUGUUCAUGCCCAUGAAAAUGAUGUAGACCGUCUCAGAAGCUUCUUACAAAAUGAUUAUCCAGCUGUAUGAUUCUUUCGGUAUUUUUGAAAUUGAUUCCUUACAGUUAUGAUUCCGACCAUGUUGUCCUGAUCUGAUAUAUCUGAUUGGAAUUCAUUCCAGUGCCUCGUCUAAUUGUGGCAAGGUUCAAGUAUCUAUUGUCAUAGGUCAAUGAUCCGGUUCUACUUCUAUCAUGUUCUACCUUCGAGUAUUACCCCCUGGUAUCUCGGAGAUGCCUUGCCAUUGCACCACAUCUUACUAACUUUGUUGAAGUAAUGUUUUUCCUUGUCUUAAUCACUCUACGGGUUCUGGGUUGUUGUCAACCAAGGGCAUCGACUAGUGGAAUUAUUCCGCACUCAAAUCAAAUACCCCAAGUGUUUUUACUAGGAAAUUCCGAAUCCAAUUUGGUCAUUCCUAGACUAUCGGAUGCAUCUUGGUCUUUCUACUUUUGACUGUGCUACCGCGUCCUUCUCUAGGGCAUGAAUUCUUCAGUGUGUGACCACGACUUACGUCGAGCUUUCAACGUCAUGUUGCUUGUCUUGAAAGGCAACUUUGGUCCCGAGCUUGCAGCUUAUAUAUUGAUCCUAUAACUUGCCACUUCGUCAUUUCCUUGCUUCUUGUUGUUGUUGUUGUUUGAUUGCAUCCUCUUGAAACCUCCUGGCAAAUGUGUCGGAUCACCUUCAACACUUUGACUUCUUCCGAGAUGUCAACUGUGUUCAUGAUGAGAAAUACCCUCCUUGCCCUCGAUGAUAUUAUUAUCAUCAAUAACGCCCUUGAUUUCCUUUCAUCGCGAACUUGUCCACAUUAUGAAUACAACUUGCUUUCCAGCUAGUGUUGUAUUCUGCCUUGAAGUAUUACUAUCUUUUCUGUCGAGAAUGUUGUGGGGAUUGCUCCAGCUCUUAGAAAUUCUCGGUAUGAUGAUACUUCUCACCAUCACCAUUCUUCCUUGGUUCCCGUGUUGUUUUUAACCAGGAUACCAAUAUGCUAAUGAUGUUGUUUGAGUUUUGUACUUCUAGCAACCCUGUUGCUUUGAAGUUAAUGAUUGAUGGUUCGUUCUUAGACUGUUGGUUAUUGAAUUGUCACUCUAACAUUGAGCUUGCUGCCUAAGGUCAUACUUCGGGCACACCUUUCAACUAAUGAUUGAUGGUGUAUGUUUUCCUAGAGCAUACAACAUUAUAUCAUUUGAAUUGACAAAUGUUAUCCCCUUGUUCACAUAAUUAUGGAAAUCCAUUGAGGGAGUCCUGGAUUAGGGGGUAUCUGGACAGCCGGAUUAUAUCCUUUGGCCGGACUGUUGGACUAUGAAGAGAUUGAAGACUUCGUCUUGUGUCUGGAUGGGACUCUACUUGGCGUGGAAGGCAAGCUAGGCAGUACGGAUAUAGAUAUCUCCUCCUUUGUAACCGACCUUGUGUAACCCUAGCCCCCUCCGGUGUCUAUAUAAAUCGGAGGGUUUUAGUCCGUAGGACAACAUACAAUCAUACCAUAGGCUAGCUUCUAGGGUUUAGCCUCUCCGAUCUCGUGGUAGAUCAACUCUUGUAAUACUCAUAUCACCAAGAAUAAAUCAAGCAGGACGUAGGGUUUUACCUCCAUCAAGAGGGCCCAAACCUGGGUAAAACAUCGUGUCCCCUGCCUCCUAUUACCAUCCGCCUUAGGCGCACAGUUCGGGACCCCCUACCCGAGAUCCGCCGGUUUUGACACCGACAUUGGUGCUUCAUUGAGAGUUCCUCUGUGACGUCUCCGUAAUGAAGGAUGCCUCAUCUCGUUGUUAAAAAAAACAUUACCGCCGGGGGAGCUUUGGCUGUUGGCCAAACUCUCCGGCUAGGCAGUUUCGUCAUGACUGCAUGUUCGGCCGCUGCACCGAUGAUGACUUCUCGGGUCAUCAAAAUCAGUCUCCACGUCGGCUCAGAAUUCGCUGAGCAGAUGGAUCCAAUGGAGCUCUCCUCCCUAAACGAACUCUUAGAUCGCAUCGCCUCCUUGGGAGUCUCUACGGACUAUGAUCGGAUUGGGCUUAAACCCGAUCGAAGGGAGAUUAACUCGCCACCGGUCACCCAUCAUGUUGCGGUGGUGGAGGAACAACGCGGCGAUCCUCCCUCUAUCUUGAAGACCAACUAUGUCCGAAUUCCUGAGCUCUCUGAGCCGGAUACCCGUUUACGGGAGGAUAUCACCCAAUCCUUGAACCUAGAGUCAGGCAGCGGGCCAGACUCAUCGGGCAACAUACCAGAAUCCGAACUUCCAAGAUCGGAAACCCCUCAGCCCCUGGGUCUCAGAUCGGGUAGGGGUCCGGACUCAAAUCCACCCACCCACCCAGACAUAAAUGAUCUUUCCCACAUCAGGCAAGAGCCCCAUGAAACAGUACAUCAUUAUUGGGCCAGAUGCCUCCUUGUGAUGAACAAGGUUAAGGACUGCCGCGAGGAAGACGCAGUCUCACUUUUCUGCAAUAACUGCACGGACAAGGGAAUCCUUAACGCCAUAAGUCGCCGUGACAUAUCACGCUUUGCCGACUUGGCGUCCAUAGUACAAAAGUACUGUGCGAUGGAAAGUUCCUGGAAAACCGGAAAAUAAAUUUGGGAUAAUCCGGCUCCGUAUACGCACCCAGUCCGAAGUGAAAGGGUGCACUAUCAUAAGACACCCGAGUUCAUUACAAAGAAGCAAAAACCCUCUACAGGGCACGGAACCGUAUUGGAGGGAUGGCUUAACGGGCCCUGCAAAAUUCAUAGCACAGCGGAUACAAUACCAACGCACAACCUUAGAGCAUGUUGGAUACUCCGGUAGGUGGCAAAAAGUGGUGAGGAUCUUCUUAUCCCAAAUGCCACAGAGCACCAUCCCGUGGAUAACAAUACGGUGUUAACAGUCUUUGAGACCUUCGCGUCAAACAAUAGGCGCAAGCGAACACUCCGCAGCAUGGCUGAAUUCUGCCACGUAGCAGCAAUAAAUCCAUGGAGUGACACGGCUAUUACCUUCAAUGCCAGUGACGAACCUACAUUCCGAACAGCCCGAGCACCAGCCGCACUAGUUCUCAGUCCAAUUGUGGACGGCUUUCGACUCACCAAAGUACUCAUGGACGGCGGCGGCGGAUUAAACCUCAUGUAUGAGGAAACUCUUCAAAAAAUGGAAAUAGACUAGAACCGCAUUGAGCAAAGUAGCACAACCUUCAGGGGAAUCAUACCCAGUCGAGAGGCACGAUGCGCUGGGAAAAUCACACUAGAUGUGGUAUUCGGUACACCAGAGAACUAUAGGUCCGAAGAAAUUACAUUUCAAGUGGCCCCGUUCAGCAGUGGAUACCACGCCCUUUUAGGACGUGAGGCAUUCACGAUCUUCCAAGCCAUACCCCAUUAUGGGUACAUGAAGCUAAAAAUUCCCAGGCCCAACGGAAUCAUCACCCUCGCCAGUGAUCCGGACACAGCACUCCGCACCGAAAACAAAACAGCCGCACUGGCCCUCGAGGCAUUAUCCGCAGCCCUCUCGGUUGAGGAAUUAACCACGCAACGCUCCAUAGUGGACAGGGACGACGUGAUAGUCGACAAGAGAUCCAAGUCCACCUCUUUUAAACCAGCGGACGAAAUAGUCAAAUUCCAAGUCCACCCAACGGACCCUACAAAAAUAGCCUCCAUCGGGGCACAGUUAAACCCGGCCGUGGACGCCGCACUACGAGAGUUCCUGCGUGAGAAUUGGGACAUAUUCGCCUGGCAUCCCUCAGACAUGCCAGGAAUCCCAUGCAGGCUGGCCGAGCAUAGCCUCAAUAUCCUAAAGGGAUUCAAGCCGGUCAAGCAAUCUCUUCGGCGUUUCUCCGAACCUAAGAGACAGGUCGUGGGAGAGGAACUAGCCAAGUUAUUGGAGGCCGGUUUCAUCAGAGAAAUAAAACACCCGGACUGGCUAGCAAACCUGGUGAUGGUACCAAAGAAGGAUAAAUCCUGGCACCUUUGUGUCGAUUUCAAGGACCUCAAUAAAGCUUGCCCAAAGGAUCCCUUCCCCUCCCCCACAUCGAUCAAAUUAUUGAUGCUACCGCAGGACACGAGUCAUUGUGUUUCCUCGACGCAUACUCCGGUUACCACCAAAUCAAGAUGGCGGAGUCUGACCAAGCCGCAACGGCAUUCAUCACACCAUACGGUCCCUUCUAUUUCAACACAAUGCCUUUUGGGCUCAAAAACGCUGGCGCAACAUAUCAGCGCAUGAUUCAGACAUGUCUGGAAAACAAAUCGGCAAAACAGUAGAGGCAUACGUAGACGAUGUGGUCAUCAAAACCAAACACGUUGACUCUUUGAUAGACGACUUGAGGCUCACAUUCGACAACCUCCGAACAUACGACAUCAAGCUCAAUCCGGAAAAAUGCAUUUUCGGUGUACCAGCUGAAAAGCUCCUGGGUUUCAUUGUCUCGAGUAGAGGUAUUGAAGCUAAUCCGUCCAAAAUCUGAGCUUUGUCACAGUUGGCUACUCCAACAGACCUCAAACAAAUCCAGAAGUUAACUGGAUGUGUGGCGGCUCUAAGCCGCUUUAUCUCUCGCUUAGGAGAAAAGGCAUUACCCCUUUAUCGCCUCCUUCGGCGCACCGAACACUUCGAGUGGAAGGACGCUGCCACAGCCGGAUUGGAAGAAAUAAAAGCCAUACUGGCAACCAACCCAAUCCUGGCCGCGCCAAACGUCGGUGAACCAAUGUUGUUGUAUAUUGCGGCAACUCAUCAAGUGGUAAGCGCAGUGCUCGUCGUCGAACGAGAAGCUGAUGGACAUAAAUUCCCUCUUCAAAAGUAGGUAUACUAUGUAUCCACUGUCCUCACUCCAUGCAAAUCACGGUACCCACAUUAUCAAAAGAUAGCUUAUGCGGUAUUCAUGGCAUCCCGGAAGCUGCGACACUACUUUCAAGAGUGUUCAAUUACAGUAGCCUCGGAAGUGCCACUUGAUGAUAUUAUAAACAACCGCGACGCUACGGGCCGGAUUGCCAAAUGGGCCAUUGAGCUCCUCCCCUUCGACAUAACAUACAAACCUCGGCGAGCCAUUAAGUCGCAAGUAUUGGCCGACUUUGUCGCCGAAUGGACGGAGGCCGAACUCCCUAAAGAGUAUGGCGCAUACUCCAAUUGGAUCAUGCACUUCGAUGGUUCUAAAAUGCUGGCUGGUCUAGGGGCUGGCAUCGUCCUGACGUCCCCAACCGGAGAUACCGUUCAGUACGUACUGCAAAUAUUGUAUACAGACUCCAACAACGCAGCCGAAUACGAAGCUCUGUUGCAUGGUAUUCGGAUGGCAGUCUCCAUGGGCAUUCAAUGCCUGGAGGUGCGUGGGGAUUCAAACCUCGCAAUAUCCCAAAUAAUUGGAGACUUUGACGCCAAGGAUCCAAAAAUGGCGGCCUAUCAAAAUGCCGUCCUAAAAAUGUUAGCUCGGUUCGAGGGGCUCAAAUUUCACCAUGUGGCUUGGGAAAACAAUCAGGCGGCGGAUAUCCUCGCCCGCAUCGGUGAAAAACGCGAUGCGGUCCCCCCCCCCCAAUAUCUUCUUAGAGAGGUUUUCUAAGACAUCCAUGGUAUGGGAGGGGGACACCGACAAUAUUAGUCCGGACCCGGCCACAACACUCGAUACCGAACACUCUGACAUAAUCGGAGGCUCUGCCACCGAAAUAACACCUUCAGCCCAUGUAAUAAUGGCCAUCAUUGCCCCGUGGAUAGAACCAUUCCUCGCCUACCUAACUAGACAGGAACUUCCGGAGGACCAAAAUGAGGCACGCUGCAUAGUGCGGCGAUCCAAGGCCUACAGGGUCCAUGAGGGAGAAUUGUACAAAAAAAGCACUACCAGAGUCCUUCAAAGGUGCAUCUCCGGAGAGGAAGGGCGGAACCUUUUGGCAAAAAUUCACGCCGGACUCGGCGGUCACCACGCCGCAGCCCGGGCUCUUGUAAGCAAGGCCUUCCGUACAGGAUUCUAUUGGCCAACGGCCCGGGCAAAUGCACAAGACUUGGUCCAACGUUGCGCCGGUUGCCAGCUCUUUGCAAAUCAAAUCCACAUGCCACCCACCGCCCUCCAAAAAAUCCCCAUUACGUGGCCCUUCGCAGUCUAGGGACUUGACAUGGUUGGACCCCUUAAAGGAGGAACCCACAAGAAAAAAUACCUACUGGUCAUGGUGGAUAUUCACCAAACGGAUAGAGGCCAAACCUGUUAAAACAACUGAAUCCGGACCGGUGAUAGACUUCAUAUCCGGGGUCGUACACCAUUAUGGCGUCCCCCACAACAUCAUCACUGACAACGGCACAAACUUCAUGGCCGAUGAGGUAAAACUCUGGUGCAGCAAAACGGGCAUCAAGCUAGAUUAUGCUUCAGUCUAUCACCCACAAACCAACGGCCAAGUUGAGUGAGCAAACGGUCUUAUAAUGAGCGGCAUUAAACCCAGAUUAGUGCGUUCCUUAACAGAGUCUAACACGCACUGGGUAGAGGAGCUCGACUCCGUACUCUGGGGGAUGCAGACCACGCCGAAUCGUAGUACUGGAUAUACACCCUUCUUUAUGGUGUACGGCGCAGAGGCAGUCUUGCCCUACGACAUAACUCAUGACUCACCCCGAGUGCGCAUGUACGAAGAAAGAGAAGCCAAGCUCGAUCGGCAGGAUAGUCUGGACACCCUGGAGGAGGAGCGUGACGUAGCAAAAGCCUGUUCCGCAUUUUUAUCAGCAACAGGCUCGCAGAUACCAAAGCAGAGAAGUACGGGCCAAAACUUAUAACGUUGGCGAAUUAGUUCUACGCCUGCCGGAUAAGAAAAAGAACAAGCUCGACCCCAAAUGGGAAGGUCCUUUCAUUAUUGACCAAGUUCUGACUGGUGGAGCGUACCGACUGCGGGAUGCAUCAACUAAUCGAAUUGAGCCGAACCCAUGGAACGCGGCCAGACUCCGAAGAUUCUACGCCUAGCACCGGACUCUAUGUUCGUCCCCUUCCUAUGUCCAUUUUUUGCAUAUACAUUAUCUGUCUUGUUUUUCUUUCUUUCUUUUAUUCUUUCUCUAGGCCUUCAAGGGCCAACUUGCGCCUCGCUUGCACAUUAUAGAUGUGCUAGCCUCUCUCGUCAUACCUGGUGGCUUCUUUCACAGAAGCUUAAUUAUUUAUCUGGGCCUCAUGCCCCGCACAUGUGUUAUACUUCCGCAUGUACCUUUUUUCGCCAUUAUAUGCAUUGAUAUGACUUAAGUUUUGGCCAAGCUGGGUUGCCUGGCUCUUGUAUUUAUGCCCUACGUUCCCGUUCAUUCGGCUAGGGCAUAAGGGGAGCACCUCUGCGAUUGUUACUGCCGGGUCAGCCGGAUGUGUACCUCAGACUGGGUGAAGCCGAAAGCUAGCGUUCUUAAGGGAAUAUUCGGUCGGUGAACAAAAGAUGAUUUUUAUUUAUUUUCCAUAUCUGCCCCCAGAUUUUUUUUCUGUGUUUCUUAUCACAGUCCGGACAUGCACUUUAGGGCAUGCAUACCCAGGUAAAGGAACCCUUAACGGAACUAUUCUCCAUGGAAGAUGUUUCUUACUACCCAUGUAAUAUAACAUAACUAGUUGGGCACUUGUCCGUUCAAGCAAUAAAGACCCCUACGCCUGGUAUCCACGCAUACGCUGGUUCUUAUAUAACUGAGCGGGUAUUCGGAUACACUCCGGACUAUCGGGUCCCGAGGUUGAAGCAAAAAGGUCCGCCAAGACAAAUGAUCUACAAUCCGGCUAGAAGGCAUUAUACAUGUCACUUUAAUUACAUAGUCAUGCAGACUAACUAAAUUCCUCUUCUAUACCAUCCAACAAGCGGUCUAGCCUACAAUCCUGUCGGGAAUACUUUGCGGCUAAUUCUACUUGCCCAUAAACUAAGCUAACGGGGAUUUCUUUUCCGUCGGGCCCCACAGGUCCGACCUCGGCCAUGUAAUUUGGGUCAGCCUUGGUAUACCGCGUCUUCACCAUGGCCCAGGCUUCUCUGGCACCUUGACGGCAGGCCGAUAUAUUCCAUAAUCGGAAGCGCCGCCGUGCUCCCUUGAGCUUCUCCGUAAGCUCUGCAACGCCUUCUGGCAGGGAGACGGAUGGCCACAAGGCCUGGGCAACACCUUGCAUCACCUGUCGAACUUGUUCGUGCAGAUGUGAGAGCUCGGAUAGAAGAUCACCCGCAGACCCGGGCAUUUCCUCCGCGGGACAACCCGUCAGCAUACCUACAGACAUAACGCUGUUAGUCGGCUUCUUUGCCGAACUCCUUCAAAAGGAUUCGUUCAAGCACUUACUGAAAAUGCCGUGUCGAAGUCGCUUAUUCUCCUUCUUGGAGUCUGCAAGCUGGGCUCGAACGUCUUUUAGUUCCACGCUCAGCUUGAUAUUGGCAUCUUGGAGAUUGUUUUUCUCCCACCUAACCUCAAUCAGCACGCGUUUGCCAGCCUCUAGCUGUCGCACGACAUACUGGUCCUUCGGAUUUUCUCCGGAUUCAUCUGCAACAUCUAUUGUUAGAUCUGCAGCCACGCCGCACACUAUAUGGUAACCAUCAUUGUUUAAAGUAAAUGUUACCAGCGGGAGGCUUUUUCGGUUCCUUCAAUGCGGCAACAGUGGCCCACAGUUGGGUCUUGCAUUCCUCCAGCUCCUGUGACAGCCGAGUAUUCUUCUCUGUAAGAACCUGCACAGUAAAGGUGAUCCUUAAAUCAGUUCUGCUAAUUGUUUCAAGUCUCAGGGGCUACUGAUACAUAUAAUCGCCAGAUUUACUUACCCGUACAUCCUUUACAUACUAAUCCGUGGCUCUGGCUAGACCAUCUUGAGCAGCACGGAGGUACGCUUCUCCAGAAUUGAAGGCAUCAAAUGCCUCUGGUGAGAAACAAGCGUCGCGGAGUACGGCCCGGUGGCGCCUAUGAUUCAUGGCGCUUUCCACUUCAGAAUUUGUGGUGGAUAAUCUAUCUGCAUCCUCUGUAGGAGGAUUAUCCUGCGCCCGCCCCAUAUCGGCUUCCGCCUCUAUGUCCGGUCCUGGCGCCCGACUGGUGGAAGCGUGAUUAGCAACAUCGCCGGACAUAUUCCGGCGAGCGUUUUUUCUGUUAAAGAAACACGGGCGUCAUUACAUUUCGAGAAAGACGACAACCACGGAGCGGGGUUUUUGUUAUACCUUUGCGCCGGCGUCUCCGUCCUGACCGCCUUCCUUUUUGGCCUACCCGGCCUCGGUGCCUCUUGUUGGCGAGUUGCUGCGGGUUCGGCAGGGCGUCUCGAAUGCCUUCCCUGUAAAAAAUGCCAUAUGUAUAUGGUAGGUGAAGUGUCUAAAAGGGGAUCCUAGUUUUUGGAGUUGGGAUUUUUUGGUUUUCUUACGUGCGAUGCAGGAAGCAGUCCGGGAUAGUCGGCCGUAAUUGCCACCAUGGCAUCCUCGCAGCUUAACUGAUAGAACUCCCGGUCCAUCAGCUCCAUGAAUAUAACCGGAUCUUCUUCAAGUCCGGAGUCAAGGGCCCGGUCAGGGUCCUCUGGUUGUGGAGAAGGGCUGCUGACCUCCUUUAUGGCUUUUCGCAGUUCCUGCCGCAAAGUGGCAAGGUGAAUACUUACGACAAAGAAUGCGGGAAAAAUGGGAGUAAGGAAAUAUAACUUACCCAUCUUGGAGGAUUGUACAUGGAGAAUCCAUCCCAUGGCUUGAUGCGGAUGAACUCCUCUUCCUCUCCUUUGAACAAUUCGGACAGAAUUUUUGCUAAAGCGGCAGCAUUGUCCGGACCCUCACGCCCGCAGCGGGUGGCAUCAUCCGCCCCGUUAAAACACCACAAGGGGUGCCCAUGAUAUUGAAGUGGUUGCACUCCCCGCAUUAUGCAAAUCGACAUAACUUCGAUUACUGUCAAUCCUGAUUGAGCCAAUGCUUUAAUCCGGUUCAUCAGGUAGAGGACUUCUCCAUUGUCUUCCGCCUGGGGGCUCCAUGGGUGCCAACUUCAGCGUUUCUUCAGAGGGGCAUUGCUGAACUCAGGAAGACCCCGCCGAACAGGGUCCGUAAGGGGAAUGUCCUCCAUAUAAAACCAUUCCUAAGGCCAGUCUUCGGACGACUUCUUCGGGGUACCGGACAGGUAUCCGGUACCGGCGAUGUGCCAUAUUUCGGAUCUGCCCGCUUGAUAAAGCGACCCCCUCUGUGUGCGAGGGACGAGGCAAAAUAGCCUUUUCCACAGCUCGAAGUGAGCCUCGCAACCCAGGAACAACUUGCAGAGAGCAACAUAGCCGGCGAUAUGUAGAAUGAAGGCAGGGGUGAAAUUGUGUAAUUGGAGGCCGUAGAACUCCAGGAGCCCAUGGAGGAAUGGAUGAAUUGGAAAUCCGAGUCCCCUUAAUAAAUAAGGAACAAGGCAGACCCGCUCUCCCAUAGAGGGACUGGGAAAGCUCUCCGCUUGCUCCCGGCCAUUGUAGGAGGCAAGCUCGGCUCGAACGGGCACCAUGUAUGCUGGAGGGAGAAAUCCCUUAGUCUGCAGUUCAAUUAGUCGACUGUGUGGGACUGAACACCUCUCCCAAUCACCGGGCUUAGGGCUACGGGGGCGGGAGGAGGAGUUGUGGAGGUCGGCCAUGCUGGAAUGGAUCUUUCCGAAGCGCGCUCUGAUGGAUUCUCGCUGGGGGAGAAUGGUAUGGAUCGGAUCUGAGAAUCACCGUCCUUUUAAUAGACAAUUUAUUUGUCUGGCUAGGGGGGCGAAUGUAAAAACGCCUGGUGCCUCGUAUUCAUUCAACACAUGGGAGAUAGCCCUUAUUGGGCACAGAAGCCAAGAGGUCCAAACAUUUAUGGGACCGUACACUGCUUUAUAAACGUUCGAAAUAUGGAGAGGAACCCGCCUUGCAAUGCCGAAGACAACACUACGCGCCGGACUCAUCGUCAUUGAAGCCUGGUUCGGGAGCCACUGAGGGAGUCCUGGAUUAGGGGGUAUCCGGACAGCCAGAUUAUAUCCUUUGGCCGGACUGUUGGACUAUGAAGAUACAAGAUUGAAGACUUCGUCUCGUGUCCGGAUGGGACUCUACUUGGCGUGGAAGGCAAGCUAGGCAGUACGGAUAUAGAUAUCUCCUCCUUUUUAACCGACCUUGUGUAACCCUAGCCCCCUCUGGUGUCUAUAUAAAUCGGAGGGUUUUAGUCCGUAGGACAACAUACAAUCAUACCAUAGGCUAGCUUCUAGGGUUUAGCCUCUCCGAUCUCAUGGUAGAUCAACUCUUGUAAUACUCAUAUCAUCAAGAAUAAAUCAAGCAGGACGUAGGGCUUUACCUCCAUCAAGAGGGCCCGGACCUGGGUAAAACAUCGUGUUCCCUGCCUCAUGUUACCAUCCGCCUUAGACGCACAGUUCGGGACCCCCUACCCGAGAUUCGCCGGUUUUGACACCGACAUCCAUCCUUUUGGAAAUCCUGAGGAAUUGUCACUGAGUCCAUCAGCCACCUCCUCAUCCUCUCCUUGGUUUAAUAGUGAACUCUUGUUUUGGAACUCGCUUCCAUAAUUGUUUUCCCGAGAAACUUACUAUGUCAUCUCAUCAAAUUGUGUUGCACCUUUUCUUCUCAGGCAUCCUGAGUCCGAGGUAUCCUAACACCGAUCAGAUCUGAAUCUCGGUCAGAUAUGAUGGUUGGAACAUUUUUCCAAGAGUUAUAACACUGGUCUUUUAUGACCCGGUAAGGUGUUUUCAUGCCCAGCACACCUGGCCGAAGGACCUACUGUUAUAGUUUCCUUAUUAGCAAGGUUAUCCAUUCUUCCAUGAGGAAAUUGUAAGACUUAUUCUACAAGUUGUUCCUGAUGGAUCCUUCCUGUAUCCAAAGUCUGACCUUUUCUUGAAGACCAUGUCAAUGCUAUCUCGAAGCAUGCCUAUGGUAAUCCAAUUUUCAAUAAGAGCAUUUGAAGCACAAUGCUAAGUUUUCUUUAUCAUUUAUCCUAACACCAUUGUAUGGGUAAUAUCAUGAGAUUCCUCCCCACUUACCUAAAUGGUUUCCUACUUUCUACCCUGACAUGGAUAUCAUGCUCCGCUUGUCCUUGGGAAGGAUAUACCCUUGAAAUAUGUGUGUAUACACAUUUUUCUUUCCAUUGUUCUGUUUAAACCUGAUAAUCACUUUUCCUUUCCAUUGGUUUGUUUAAACCUUCUUGUGAUCUAUAUAAUAUAAGAAGUAAUAUUUCCCUGCUUAGGUAAACACCUCGUUGUACCACUCUGUCAGUAAGACCCUCUUACUAUUGUUGCUGACAUUCCGGUAGCCAUCGAUGGACGAGAACCUUGCCUAUUGGUCCACCUCGUUCAAUGAGCAGGAAAAUGGUUCUCUUCGUCCCUCGCCCUUGGUAUCGAUGUUGUUGCCGACAUAACUGACAGGCUACCCUCUGACAUGCCCUGCUAUCAUGACCGUGCAAGAUGUCAACCCCCUUUCUACUUUAACCCACAUGGUGGGCCCAUAACCCAUAGUCCCACAGGAUCGAAACCUGGCUCUCCUAUACACCCCCUGUUUCCAUAGUUAUUCCUCGAGCGUGACCUCAUAGGUAAUUCAGGAGCCACCUUCUGAGAGAUCGUCAAUUCUGGUAUCAGACACAACACUAAUUCUCGUUGCUCUGAACCCCUUUCACGUGCUGUUUCAGGCAACAACGGUUGUCUAUCUGCUUGAAACUGCAUAUGGUACCUUCUUACUUUGCUCUCGAGGUGUUUCAUUUGUUCAAAUCGAGAGAUACUCAUGUGUUCAUUCUUGGGAUACCCCCAGAUGAUUUUCCCUUAUAACAUCCUAUCAUUGUAGAGCUGCCCCUUACCUAUUCGUUAGUAUGAUGGAGUGCCCCGAAGAAAGGACGACAACUUCAUCAUGAUGACCUGAAGCAGAGGAACGAAGACAUCAAUGUCAUGGAUCGACCUCUUCGAGAAGAGUAAGUAUGACCGAGAAGAAUCGUUAGAAUUUCGUAACCAGAUCCCUUCCCCCUUACAACCGCUCCUAAAUCUCGGGACGAGAUUUCUUGUAGUGGAGGAGAAUUGUGACGCCCGGAUAAUCAAGCUAUAAUAACCCUCUGCUAAUUAUGUCACGUCACCUCGGUUACUGUAGAUGAACUCGUGUUAGUUCAAAAAUGAUUCAAAUUCAAAUUUAAAAUAUAGGAAAACAGUAGAAGUUUUCAAACAUUAAAAUAAAAAUGUUCGGACUAUGUCAAUUAUUGCAUAGGUAAUUAUCGUGAAGUAAACACAUUUUUAGAAAAUGCCUAAAUACUUUUAAAUGAAUUAAAACAGAAAAUAAAAUAAAUAAAAGAAAUAAGAAAAUAGAAAGAAAAAAACAAAAACAAGAAAAGGAAAAAGGCCCUGGCCAACUGGGCCAGAAGGCCCAGCUGGCCGACCCACUUGGCCUAUCCGGCCCCCCCACUCUCUCCAUAUCCCCACCCCCGUAACCCUAACCCCCCACUCGCCCCACUCCCUCACCCGAUUCCCCUGGAUCGGGAUCGAUCCCGUCUCUCCCCUCGUCUCCCUCCCAGUGCCGCCUCCCCCACCGCACCCACGCGACGCCCACAGGGAGGCUCGCCCCUCGCGUGAGCUGCACGGGUGCCGCCCCCGCCCCGAGCGCCCUACACCGUUGCCGACCACCACCACGUCACGUGAGCACCACCACCGUCACUCCGACUCGCCGGACCCCGUCGUCGCCGCCGUGCUUCCUCACCUCCUCCCCGGGUCGUCGCCGCCCCGACCUCAUCGCCGUCGUCGCCGGACUGCCUCCCUGUCCUCUGCCCCAAGCAACGCUGCCCUUAACCCUACGGCCCCAGUGAGCGCCUCCCUCUCCUCAUCUCUCCCUCAUAGCGCCAUGCCCGGGCCCGUCUGCGCUCUCGCGCGCCCCUGUGGUCGAGCCCCGUGCUCCCGCUCGCCCGUCGCCGCGCCCCCUAUUCACCACCCCCUACCCCGCGCGUCCCUGGUGGUGCUGAUCACCGAUGCCGCUGCAGCCCGCUCCUCCUGCAGGCCGCCCCUGUCUCGUGCGCCGUCGUCAUCCCCCGUCCUUCGCCCGGUUGGCGCCCGGCGCCGGCGCCCCAUCGUGUCCGAGGCCGAUGCCCGGGUUCACCUUGACGGGCGUCCCGCCAGCGCCCAGACGGGCUAUGCCCUGUGCCCGUUAUCGGCCAAACCCAAUAGGCCCCUAUGGGCCAAUGACACAGGGGCCCCACGUCCAGAACAUUUUUUUAUAAAAAUGAAAGAGAAUUAAAAAUAAUAAAAUAAAUAAAUAAAAAUAUCAUUAACAAAUUAAUUAAUUAAAUUAAAUUAAAUUAAUUAAGUCUAUUUAGACUAACCUUAUCAUUAGGUAAUCUAAUUUACUCUAUUAAUUAGGGUGCUAACUAAACAGCCUAUGACAUGCGGGACCCAUCUGUGAGGUUGACUAGGUCAACUGUCUGGUUGACUGCUGACAUCACCCUGACAUCAUGCUGACAUCAUAAUUGCAUUUUCUAAAUUAAUUAAUUGUGAUAAUUCUAAAAAUGAUUUAAAAUCUUUAAAAUUUAUUAUAAAAUAAUCCAUAGCUCAGAUGAAAAUGUUUUCUACAUGAAAGUUGCUCAGAACGACGAGACGAAUUCAAAUACACAGCCCGUUCAUUUGCCACACAUCUCUAGCAUAGCAAACCUGCAACAUUUCACCUUUUGUUCAUCUGUCCAAAAACGUGAAACACCGGGAAUACUUUCCCGGAUGUUUCCCCCCUUCGUCGGUAUCACCUCCUACCGUGUUAGGGCACACCUGGCACCGUUACUUGUCUUGUCAUGCAUCAAUAUGCAUCAGUUUGCUCUGUAUUUAUUGUUUCUUCCCCCUCUUCUCUCGUUAGACACUGAGACUGAUGCCGCUGCUACCCAGUACGACUACGGUGUUGACGACCCCCUCCUACUUGCCUGAGCAACCAGGCAAGCCCCCCCUUUGAUCACCAGAUAUCGCCUAUUCUUCUCUCUACUGCUUGCAUUAGAGUAGUGUAGCAUGUUACUGCUUUAUGUUAUCCUAUCCUGAUGCAUAGCAUGUCCUUGCUACUACUGUUGUUACCUUUACCUGUAAUCCUAAAUGCUUAGUAUAGGAUGCUAGUGUUCCAUCAGUGGCCCUACACUCUUGUCCGUCUACCAUGCUAUACUACUGGGCCAUGAUCACUCGGGAGGUGAUCACGGGCAUAUGAUAUAUAUUUAUACUGUUACAUUACUUAUGAUACUGUUCGGAGAUGGGGGCUGAAGGGGCAGGUGGCUCCAUCCCGGUAGAGGUGGGCCUGGGUUCCCGACGGACCCUGACUUUUACUUUGUGGCGGAGCGACAGGGCAGGUUGAGAACACCUAGGAGACAGGUGGGCCUAGCCCUGGUCGGCGUUCGCGGUUAUUCCAAGAUAACAUGUUUAACGAGAUCUUGGUAUUUGAUAUGAGUCUGGCCACUGGCCUAUACGCACUAACCAUCUAUGCGGGGACAGUUAUGGGCACUCGACGUCGUGGUAUCAGCCAAAGCCUUCGUGACGUAAGCGACUGAGCAGCGCACGCCGGAUUGGACCGUAAGCCUGCUCUUGUAUUAAGGGGGCUAGUUCUGCUUCCGGCCGCGUACGCAACGUGCAGGUGUGCAAUGGGCGAUGGGCCCAGACCCCUGCGUGCAUAGGAUUUAGACCGGCGCACUGACCUCUUUGUUGUGCCUAGGUGGGGCUGCGACGUGUUGAUCUUCCGAGGCCGGGCAUGACCCAGAAAAGUGUGUCCAGACAAAGGGGAUCGAGCGUGUUGGGAAAUGUGGUGCACCCCUGCAGGUAAGUUAAUCUAUUCGAAUAGCCGUGAUCUUCGGUAACAGGACGACUUGGAGUUGUACCUUGACCUUAUGACAACUAGAACCGGAUACUUAAUAAAACACACACUUAUAAGUGCCAGAUACAACCGGUGAUCGCUCUCUCACAGGGCGACGAGGGGAGGAUCAUCGGUUAGGAUUAUGCUACGCGAUGCUACUUGGUGAACUUACCAUCUACUCUCUUCUACAUGCUGCAAGAUGGAGGUGGCCAGAAGCGUAGUCUUCGACAGGACUAGCUAUCCCCCUCUUAUUCCGGCAUUCUGUAGUUCAGUCCACAUAUGAUACCCUUUUUUCCAUUUGAUACCAAUGCAUACAUAUGUAGUGUAGCUCCUUGCUUGCGAGUACUUCAGAUGAGUACUCACGGUUGCUUUGCGCCCCUUUCCCCCCUUCCUAUACCCGAUUGCUGCGACCAUACGAUGGAGUCCAGGAGCCAGACACCACUGUCGAUGACGGCUACUACUACUCGGGAGGUGCCUACUACUACGUGCAGCCCGCUGACGACGACCAUGAGUAGUUUAGGAGGAUCCCAGGUAGGAGGCUUGCGCCUCUUUCGAUCUGUAUCCCAGUUUGUGCUAGCCUUCUUAAGGCAAUCUUGUUUAACUUAUGUCUGUACUCAGAUAUUGUUGCUUCCGCUGACUCGUCUAUGAUCGAGCUCUUGUAUUCGAGCCUUCGAGGCCCCUGGCUUGUAAUAUAAAGCUUGUAUUAUUUUAAUUUGUGUCUAGAGUUGUGUUGUGAUAUCUUCCCGUGAGUCCUUGAUCUUGAUCGUACACAUUUGCGUGUAUGAUUAGUGUACGGUCAAAUCGGGGGCGUCACAGUAAUAUUAGAGUCAUGCUAGUGAGUAGUUGUGAAUUUUAGAAAUACUUGUGUUAAAGUUUGUGAUUCCCGUAGCAUGCACGUAUGGUGAACCAUUAU
RNAcentral lists this long non-coding RNA (22197 nucleotides) under Triticum aestivum (bread wheat). RNAcentral's name for it is "long non-coding RNA (TAES_LNC014803)". The record is from RNAcentral. Lineage: Eukaryota; Viridiplantae; Streptophyta; Magnoliopsida; Poales; Poaceae.